RNAcentral lists this ribosomal RNA (1656 nucleotides) under Triticum aestivum (bread wheat). RNAcentral describes it as "partial small subunit ribosomal RNA". The record is from RNAcentral. Lineage: Eukaryota; Viridiplantae; Streptophyta; Magnoliopsida; Poales; Poaceae.
UUUUUUUCCUGGAGAGAGACACCCUCAGUUUGAGCUCGGAGCCAGUUGACUGCGACUUCGUAGUGCUUGAUGGCGGCUAUUGAGGCCGCCAGCGGCAAGGGGCUACCUGGGGAGAAGCAGGAGGCAGGGGCGCCGACGCCGACGCCUCCCCCGCGGAGGCCGCCCCCUCUUAGACCGACACAAGACCGUGCUCCCGUACGACCGGGUGCUGCGGCCGGCGCCGCACAAGCUGAGCCCGGCGCUGGGCCCGAAGGAGCUGCACGAGCUGGUGGUGGGCCUCUUGCGGCUGGCGCAGGCGUUGUACCAGAGGUAGGAGGCGGCGCCCGGGUAGCGCGGGAAGGAGAGAACCGUGAGGCCGUGGGGGCGGGUGCGGUCGCUCGAGUAGAGGAAGGUGAGGGGUCUUAUGUAACUCCUCGAGCACGUCCGUUUACGGUCACCUGGGUUCUUCAAUACACUCCCGUGAAAGAACUUGGGACCAAGUACCCCACGACGCGAAGACCGACGGCCUUGUUGGAAUAGUCGAUACUCCGUGUAUGAUCUACCCGUACCCUUCUAUCGGAUGCGUAACCAGGCGGGGGGACCGGUAGUGCGCGUUGGCCUGGUACGACUGCCAAUGACGAAAGACUUGUUACGGCCUGAACGCCACGUGGACCGAAACCUAAGACCGGCGCGUUUCCAACGGCAACAACUGUAUCUGCACGUGAUACCUUUACCAUGACGUCUCCCGAAGAUAGCGUGCCUGUUACAUAACUGUUAGAGAGAAGUGUACUUCGUACCAUGAACCCCAGGAAGCGUAGACGUCUCACCGAGCAGACUACUCUAACCCCUUCCGUUCCCCGAACCCAUGUUAGAGUUAUAUGGAAACGGAUUACCGUCACCCCUAUUUCCGAUGCUCAUACGUUACUUACUUAAUCAACAGGGCCGCUAACUGUUCAAAUUUGGAGUCGAAAACCAAAAACAGUAACCGGUUCUAAGAUCGUACAAACUGGGUUUACCUUCUGUCACGAACUGGUACCUACCGAUAUCCUUUCAACCUGUUUAUUACUCCUCGGACCGAUUAGUCGUAUCGCUACCCGUUUAUAACUAACAGGUCCUUCCCCCAAUGGUGUAGUCAAUGAGUCGUAUGACAGACGUACGCUGUGAUCUUCCACAAGACUUAGAACUUCGGGGCAACGACCUACUGGGUUAGCGUAUAAUAGGUCUCCUACUCUUUAUGUGGUACUUUCAACAGCUGCAGUACUUCUUUACGACCUUUCUUAGGUAAGGGAAGAACUUCCUGUAAAUCUUUGCGCAUGCAGAGAAGUUGUGUCGCCGUCGCUAAGAGUUAAGACUUAGCACAGUACGAGAUGUAAAUAUCGGAAGACGACUGGCGUUUCCCAGACAAAUAACCUCGUUGAACUUUUACCUACGUGGAAGGGAGUUGGGGACUAAGGGCAUAUCCAAACGACGCACUAAACUAAACAUUACCAUAAACAACGAAUACCAAGUCUACUUAUAAGUCUGAAAAAGAAAAAGAAAAUUCUCCCUCUCCUACUUUAGUCUGGAAAACGAACUCGUCAAACUAGCGUCCAGCGUCAUCUUCUUCAGGCGUCUGUAGAAAUGCGGUUGAUCACCGUUUCAGAACUAGCAGAUCAUUCCCUACAAUCGACAAUGGGC